Molecule: long non-coding RNA, 1573 nt
Organism: Pezoporus flaviventris
Lineage: Eukaryota; Metazoa; Chordata; Aves; Psittaciformes; Psittacidae
Exons: 3
Source: RefSeq, a predicted model, not a curated record
ACAUCUUGAAAAACUAUCUGGGAAAAUCCAGCAUUUGAAGGAGCAGAGUAAAUGUGAGGUUCCUGAUGAUGUAAGCAUUAUUCAUCUGAAAACCAUGUGGAUUCCUUGUAAGCAGCUACUAUGUUUAGCUGGAGAGAUCACUGAAAAGAGGAAGUGGCUGGAGUGGAAUAUAGAAAACUGCUGUUUUCACUUCAGAUCUUGCAGAGACUAGCAGAUGCUUGGCUAUUGUUUCAAGCAAGUGGAAUCCAAGCAGUAAAGACAAGAAUCUCACAAACAAAUGUUUGUUAGAAUAAUCAUGUAAUGAAACAAAGAAUGAAAAUAAGAUUGAGGUUCUGACACUACACUUCAACAAACACGACUGUACCGGUUAGCAUCAAAUGUAGAUGAAUGCUUUGGAACUGAUGCUGAACUGUAAGUAUAAAUUAUAUGCCAGCUUUAAGUUAUAUGAACUAGUCAAGCAUUUUCAGUUAUCAGUCUCUUUACAGCAGAACUAUCUUUUAGUUCAACUGCUUCAGAUAGUCACAGGCCCCCACACCUCCCAAACUCCUACCUUUAUAUUCCAGCUGAAUGGCCUUGAAGAGUAAACAGUCAGAUACCAGCACAACCAUGCUUUACAGUAAGUCUUCACAGCUCAAGCACUAUCUCUUCAGUCUGUCUGCUUUGACUUGGACUAGGCUAAUUUAAGUGGAAUCAACAUAGGUUAAUACUACACUGAAUAUAAUAAAGCUCAAAGACUUGGAGAAACUACCAAAGCUCAGCUGCCUAUGAAUAAAAUACAAAAUAAGGCACUAAGUGUAUUAACUGCUUAUCAACUUCAGGUUCUUAAGACUCAUUUCUAGUGUCUAAUUUUCACACAGUUGAUACAGCAUUCAAGGAAAUGAUUAGAUGGAAUUAAAUAGUUUUAGAGCAGUUUUACAUUGCAGGAAAAGUGUAUAAAGUUUUAGCCUGAAGUCUUAUUAAUGAAAAAAAAAUAUUUUGGGAUAAUGGCUGACAUAUGUAUUUGUCAUUAAAUCAGCUGUUAACUGAAAAAAGGCAUUUUAUAAGAGGGAAAAAAAAAUCAGUAUAAAUGCUGGGAAGAUCAUACUUCUAGACCUUUCUUCAGUAGUGUUCUAUGGCAUGCAAGACACUGAACAAAACAGAGUUGCUGUAGUUUAGUUUCCACAGUUCUUAGCAGAAUCCUAAAGACAGUGUAAUAAUCUACACACGGGAUGGUAAUCAAUUUUUGUUGAGCAGCCCAAAGCCUCCCCGAAGAGGCAGCUCUGUCAUCCUGUAUUUUAAUCACUCAGGAUUGUAUGAAGAAGGGUUAAUCUUCCAUGUCAUAUAUAUAAGUAACUUAGAUAUGUUACAAUGGUGUCUGCUUAAGAUGAUUCCACACUUCUUCACCUCUAAAUUUCCCACUAAUUCUGCUCUGGCAUUAUCAGCAAAGCUGAAUGGGGCAGAUAAAGCAGGGGAGAGAAGCAUAAAGAAGGCCAUACCAUUAACUGAGAUAUAAUGAAAAGUUAUUUAUGGCACUUUAAACAGUUCUUAAAAUUAAUGAAAACUUAUGCAAAGUUUCUCUCCUGCAGAGUCUUCU